Molecule: long non-coding RNA, 6011 nt
Organism: Brassica napus (rape)
Lineage: Eukaryota; Viridiplantae; Streptophyta; Magnoliopsida; Brassicales; Brassicaceae
Exons: 8
Source: RefSeq, a predicted model, not a curated record
UAUUACAACAUUAAAUUAUAUCUAUUUAAUUUAUACUAUCUAUAAAUUCAAUGGAUCAUUUAUUUUUUAAAUUUAAUUAUUGAUAGCCCAAUAAAAAUUUCUGGUAGGCCCAAAAUUUAAAUGAUAAGAUUAUAGAUUAAAUGUAACUUGACUUUUUAGGAAUAAGUUCACUAGGUCCAUUUUUUUAAAAAAUCACACAUAAAUCAAGGUUGUGACUUAUGUUUUAAUAUAUAAGAUAUAACAGAUAGCCAAAAAGUUUAAGCUAUGAAUUUAAAUAAAGAAGAUUGAUUGUAAGAUCCAUAAAUCUAUUUUAUUUUGUUCGAUAUUUGUUUAUUUGGAAAGAUCAAUUGCUUAAAUGUGUAACACUGGUAUGAACAUGUGUGUAUGAUAAUAAGUGAUUUUACUUGUGUGUCAGUGUGUGAGGAGCCAAUACGGUCACACCUGUCCGAUGACUAAAGUCUAAAGAUCAUGUUCUCACGUUGUUCCAGCAACUUCGUGUGCAUAAAACUAUUCACAAGAAAUCCACACGAGAGAAGAUCUUCUUCACAUGAACCAAAUCGAUAUGAUGAAUAUGCAGUUUUAAAAUUCAUAAUUAGGGGACAUAAAAUCAAUGUCAAACGCGAUAUGUCGUAUGAUUAAGUGUCGAUGUUCACAUGUUUGCCCGACAAAUUCGAAGUUAUUAACAACUAUACAUCAUCGAAACAAAUUAAACUAUUACUAAAAUAAAAACAAGAUGGCAUAUAUAAUUCUUGUGUGUACAGGACCUCUUCCAAGUCUUGUUCCUUUACCAAAAGUAUUCAUAAUUCUGCCUAUAUAAAUUCGUGAUGAUACCUCACCUCACUCACGGUCUUUUCUAAACAUGUUCAUCAUAUUGGAGGAGCCAUAAAUCGGGCUCCUAAGGGCCCAGUAAUUAUCUGGCCCAAACAAUGGCCUUACAUAUAAACUACCAAUAAACGAUAACUGAUUACCUUCAUGCAUGUCUCGGUAUCUCGAUCGUGUUUCCUCCUUUGGUUCUUGAUUUGUUUAUUAUCUUCUAAUUUUCAGUUUAACAUCUCAAACACGUGCGUUGUUUUCAGCCGUUGCAGAAGUGUUGUGUGUUUGUGUUUCCAGCCAAUCAUCAUCAUAUGCCUUUUUAUGUUAACUUCCUUAAAAAGAUAUCUCCGCAGAUACGGUCACUCCUUACACCUUCUGGUGGGAUGCUAAUCCGGAAAAGAAAAAUAUGUGUUGGAUCUCUUGGGACACAAUGACAUUGCCGAAAUAUGAGGGGAUCUCGGCUUUCGAGAUAUUGAAACCUUUAAUGAUGCUCUGCUUGCAAAGAUAGGAUGGAGAUUGAUCAAGGAACCACAGUCACUGCUAACUCAGGUUUUAUUGGGUAAAUACGCUCGGAACCAGUCCUUCAUAGUGUCCAAUCCCAGCCACAGCCUUUCACGGCUGGCGAAGCAUACCGGCAGGAAGAGAAAUCCUUUCGAAAGGACUAAGCUGGGUAAUGGGUGAUGGAGAGUCAAUCCGAAUGUGGAACGAAGCAUGUUUGUUUGAUAAAAAAAAAAAAAAAAAAAAUCCGCAGAUAAAAUUUAUAGACCCUAUAGGCUAAUAGCUCUAGAAUUUAUUUGGACCUCGUUUGAUUUAUAGUACUCGAUGUAGUUUAUAGACGAACAGUUUAUACUAUAAGUUUAUGCAAGCGUUCUUGUAACGGUAGAAGAUGAUUCUUAUGAAAUUGAUCGAUUGUCUUUGUUUUAUCCAAGGGAAAAAAAACUUUUCGUCUAUAAUAGCAAAUUCUCGGGCCACAAACAUAACUUUACAGACUUGAUGUUUGUAUUCACUGUUGAAACUAGUUUUUUUUAUGAUACAGAUGUAUAACACAUUACUGUCAAUAUAAAGGUACACAUAUAUUUCCUGUGGCGUAUAAAACGAAUUCGGCGUGGUCUAUAGAAUUAGCUGAUAUAUUUUGUGAACCUCUUAGAAAAUAGAAACCCACGGACCAUAAAUGAUCUUAGCGUAUAAGAAGAUUAAUUAAGAUAUAAGCAUAAAUACAUAUCACAAGGUUAUAUUUAUAUGUGUGUGUGUCUGUAUCUGUCUCUGUGCUGAAAGCUAUCGUCCGUGCCUACCUUUUGUAGUGUGCCCAUUGUAUGAAGUGGGUAACUAAACAUCAUCCUGAAAAUAAUUUUAAAAAUAUGAUAGGUUACUGCAACUGAUACUAUAAGACAAUAUCACCAACACCGUCUAAAAGUAGUACUUAAUUAGUGAGUUCCACGAAUAAGAGCCUUAGGGAAAUCGUAACUUAUCCUUUCUAAUUGUUUACAAGGUUUUGCGCUGUUUAGUUUCCCUCUCGUCUCUUUUAGGUGUUUUAUAUUCAAUCAAAUUUGAACCAUACAACUAUUUUGGUAUAGGUGAGCAGCAUAUUUAUAUGUUCUGUGGAUAUUUCAGCUAUCAUCAUAAUGCUAAAGUAUUUAGUUUCAGAUAUUUCAUCAGCUAUAUCUUACAUCCCUUGUCUAUGUUAACUUUAUCUUUUGCUAACACUGUUUUCAUAACUGUUUUAUGUCGUACUAUCAUACUCCGUUCCAAAAGUUGCAAAAUAUCACAAAUCGCACGACAUGAUGAAGUAUAGACAGUUGAAAGUAUUAAUAAAAUACUAUUACAAACCCUUAUCUUGACCACUUGUCGUGUCGUUAGCGUUCCCAUUAAUAUUGCUUAACGUCUUGGGAGACUGAACAAGAUAACUCCUACACAAGGUCUCACGUGGUCCCCCUCCUACAAACGUGUCAUGGGUUCAGUGGUUUCAAUUGACACGUGUCGUUUUCAUAGUGACGAGGAUGUGCAACUAGUUAUGAGUCCGACCUCUGGAAAGUCUGAAGUGCCCUCACUCGUUGCCUCAGCCGGCCCCUAUCUUGGCCGCAAAACUCUAUACUAUUCCUUUGACCAAAAAUAUCGUUCGUUUUGAGAUAACUUUGACCAUCAUUAAUUCGUCUCUUAACCGGAGUUCCUUAGCCGAGACAGUUUUUAACUUUUUUUAGAUUUUAAUUAAGAAAAACUAAGAAUCGCCUCUUAAAUAAAAAAUAUAAGAACCGUCUUUUAGCCAAAAAAUGUUUUAAAAAAAAAAUUGGCAAAUCAUAAGUUAAAAACUCCGGGCAAGAGACCAAGGUUAAUCAUAUCCUUAGUUACAAUAACGAUGGUUUUGCAUGUAAAUUAGUCUAAUAAAUAAUUUCAUUAACAUUAAAACGUAAUUCAUUAAACUUGUAUACGUAAGAAUUUGUAAAUUAUUCGAUACAGGUGAUUAUUAGGUCUAAUAUGAGGUUGAAUAAGAUACCAUAAAAAAGUAAUGAACACCCGUCUCUUAACGGUGGUAGAGAAUCGCAGCCUUUCAGAUUCCACACGGCUCUUACUACUAAUUUUCUAUAUAUCAACUUGCUCACUUUUUCUUUUGUAUAUGGCCUAUCGUAAACAAAUGAUAAAAUCCCUUCAGCUUACUAUUAUAAUAUUCUUCUCGAUAACGUCAAACUAUAACAAUUCAAUACAUUAGUGUAAUUAAUUUUCAGUGACACUCGUACGACUUUAACAUACAUAAGUACGACGUCACCACUCUAAUAACAUGUUAAUCAAUACAAUACUAAAAUCAGGAUAUAAUCCAUGGAGAGGAUGUCCACGUCCUCACAAAAAAUCAACCAAUAAAAAACGCUUUUUUUGCCAUGUCAGAAGCGUUGUCUAGAUAAACCGGGCCUCAGUGUGGUUUCCAAAAAAAUUAUCAUGGCCACGUCGAGCCCCACAAUUCCAAUUCAUCUUCAACUUCUCGAUUCUCUGUAAUCGCUCUAUCUUCCAUCUCUGUAACCCCCUAUUAAUCAAUGAUGCUUUCUAUACCUUCUGGCUGGUUUCGUUCCAACUUCCGUUCAUCCUCCUCCUGUAUAGAUGGCUUCGUCUAAACCUAAAUCCUAUCAAGAUCGAAACCUAGCAUUAAGAGCAGCUGAAACCACUAAUCGCCGUAGAGCUCCUUCUGAUCGAUGAGCAGGAUGGCCUAUUUGCUUAAAGUUCUUUGUUUGUGUAGCUAAUGAGGGCUCUUUGAUGGUGUUAUAUUCUACUGGAAGUCUGGAAGCCCAGUUCAUCAUAUGAGUUGCUUUGGAGAUGUUGCAAGACGCCUUCAGGAAACCGCUCUAGAUGAAGCCACUAAAGGGAAACAAUACAUCCACUCUUGCCUUAGUAGAAAGCAGUACGGUGAAGGGCUGAAGGCAGACUGUUGUUCCACGGGUUCUGCGUUUUUGGGAGGCAAAAAAUGUGAAGAAGGGAGGUGAGCUGAUGGGCGUCGACAUGGACUUGGUUGAUGAAAAGGUGUUUCGUUUCCCAAUUGCAAUUUGAGUUGCUUUCUUUUCAUUUUAGUCUACAAUUAUUACUUACUUCCUUAUAUAUGGUUCCUUCUGUUGAUCGCAUGCAACCCUUAUUCAGUCCUCCAUUAGUGCCCGUCGACUCAACACGUUCCACCACCUCCUAAGAGAGGGUGCGAUGUAACAAUUAGCAACCAAACUUUAAAGUCUCAGACUCCCUCAUUGCUAUACACGAAGCAAACAAAAUUCAUUAAAAUAGUAGCAACCAUCAACCAUGUUCCUGAUGAGAUGUUUAGGUUCCUUGCUUAUGACCAGCGGCUCAUGCUUGCACACAUUUAAUACCGAUUUACCAGCUGUGGUUAGUGAAGUGAGGGGGCAUCAAAGGGAUUUUCAACAAUGAGACAAAAGACCACAGAACGCAUAACUUGCAUCUUGACAGGUGUAUACAUAUGAAGUACUAUAAGCGAAACAACUGUUUGUGUGAGUGUUUUGACAACUUAGCAACCCUCCUACAUGAUAAAUUAUUGGCAUUUGGUUUGGAGCCAAAGAUUACUGUUGCUACUAAUAUCAGUCUAAAGUUAAUGGAGGAAGUGCAUCAAUAAGAAGGGCCUCAAGUUGUUCUACAACCAAAUAUGGGGGUGUCCAGGAAUUUUGUUGUCUAACCAUGGCUGACUUAAUGCACACGUACUAAAUUCAUAGCCGCAGAGAGCGCAUUAGAACUCAUCCCAUGCUUUCUAGAGCGGUGAAAAUUAACCCCUGCUGAUGGGUUUAUAAUUGGAUCCCCUGAGAAAACAGCUGAGGGAGAUGAUGUUGGAAUACUUGACGGAAGUGCUGCUGAGUCUGCUCUUCCACAUGUUGAACCUGUCUCAGGUGGAGUGGAUGAAGGGAAGAAGCCACACAUUUUUUAACUUCACUGCCUACGAAGAACCUAACUUCAAAUUGGAAAACCUCAACUCUAUCGCAUUUCUGCUUUUAAUGUUUUCACUUUCACUUUGUCUACUGUUUCCUGAAUUUAAACCCCUUCUACCGGCUAUUUCUUUAAUCUUUCCUUAAGGUUGUCGUAGUAACAAGGAAAAAUAAUUCGUUUGAUCUUUAACAUAUACUCUGACUCUAUGUAGUGGAAUAACAAAAUUUAGGAGAAGCGAAAGGCUGGCUCCUCCAUGGAAAACGUCGUACACGUACUGGGAAAUACCAGCAAUUUUUUUCUAAAAAAAACUGUAACAUUGGUUGUUAUGAGAUGUCACUGAGAUUUUUUGUAAGAGUGCAGCUAACACUGUAGCAUUGAUGUAUGUAGUUUAACAAGUAAGCUAUAGUUAUGUCGCUCGCAAUUCCAGCACCAAAUUGUGAACCUACUUUUUAAUAGAACUGUAUAAUCUGGAAACUGCAAUCCAUCACAAGCUCGCGAUAAUUUAAUCAAUCAUAACAGUAAACUUAAAUGAAAUAAUCUGGAAAAAGAAGUCCAAGUCUUAAUUUACAAUAUACACAUACUAAAAAAAAAUGCAGCACAAUAAUCAUGGAUUCAGUGCCUGACUGGUUCAAACGCAGCGGUUGCGGGUGGUUGCGGUUUCUAACGGUUUUAAGAGAUUUGUACGACUGGUUCUGCGGUUAGAAAUUGUUACGUUUACGGGAUAUUUACGACUGGUUAACUACCAAAUGCAACAGCGGUUAAAUAAUAAAUUAACAAUAUUUACAUUUUAUAUA